GCUGAUGACAUUUUUAUUUAAUAACAAUUUAUAGUCUGGUGCGAGUUGUCCUUUCGCUCAUAUUGAAUGUAAAAAGCGAUUUUAUGGUUGAUUAUCGUAUGUGGGUCGGCCACGAACUCAAAUCGCAAUGUUGCCAAGCUGGAAUCGACC
Long non-coding RNA from Bradysia coprophila, 150 nucleotides. The record is from RefSeq and is a predicted model, not a curated record. NCBI's taxonomy places the organism in Eukaryota, Metazoa, Arthropoda, Insecta, Diptera, Sciaridae.